RNAcentral lists this ribosomal RNA (468 nucleotides) under uncultured bacterium. Its description in RNAcentral is "partial 16S ribosomal RNA". It matches the Rfam family "Bacterial small subunit ribosomal RNA", at positions 28 to 507 of the family's 1533-position model. The record is from RNAcentral.
GACGAACGCUGGCGGCGUGCUUAACACAUGCAAGUCGAACGGAAAGGCCCUGCGGUUGUGGGGUGCUCGAGUGGCGAACGGGUGAGUAACACGUGAGUAACCUGCCCGUGACUUUGGGAUAACUUCAGGAAACUGGGGCUAAUACCGGAUAGGAGCUCCUGCUGCAUGGUGGGGGGUGGAAAGUUUCGGCGGUUGGGGAUGGACUCGCGGCUUAUCAGCUUGUUGGUGGGGUAGUGGCUUACCAUGGCUUUGACGGGUAGCCGGCCUGAGAGGGUGACCGGCCCCGUUGGGACUGGGCUACGGCACAGCCUCCUACGGGAGGCAGCGGUGGAGAAUAUUGCACAAUGGGCGGAAGCCUGAUGCAGCACCGCCGCGUGCGGGAUGACGGCCUUCGGGUUGUAAACCGCUUUCCCCUGUGCCGAAGCGUGAGUGACGGUACUGGGUAAAGAAGCCCCGGCUAACUACGUG